UCCUGUAGCUCAGUAGUAGAGCGUCCGACCAGUGUGCGAAAGGUCAUAGGUAUGACUCCUGUUUGCGGAA
This 70-nucleotide transfer RNA is filed under the name Desmophyllum pertusum. RNAcentral's name for it is "tRNA-Thr". The record is from RNAcentral. Lineage: Eukaryota; Metazoa; Cnidaria; Anthozoa; Scleractinia; Caryophylliidae.